UUAACCUUACUCCAACAGGGGCAGUCAUAUAGCGACCGAUGUAAAGGGAAAGGAAAUCGGAGGAAAGGAGACAGAAGAUUAAUGGAAAUGGAGGGGGAAGAGAGAGAGAGGGACAGAAAGAGAGAGAGAGAGUGAAAGAAACACCAGAGGCUAGUGGGAGUCCUGAGUUUUCUCCCCAUGUGUCGAAUCUCAGGCAGAUUUGCAACGCAAGUCGCUAAGUAUCUUAACUGUUCAGAGCUAUGCGGCUUUAAGGUCUUGUGUGAAAUUAAAAGGGAAAACUUAACACGACCGGCCCCGGGGCCUUCAUCCUCUUCCCUCGUCAAGCAUUUCCGUCAACUCUCUUCAUGUUCCCAAGCCAGUUAUGGCGCUAAAAGACACAGGGUUAUUUCGCGCCCUCCACACUGGUGUGGCUUGAUAAUUCUCACAGUCAACACCCACCUUGCCCAAACUAUCUGGCUUCUUUCCCACAUAUUAUUAGCUAAAGAACUUAGCUGCCCCGAUCUUCUUACGGUAAAGAUCUUAGCCUUUUAGUCGCGAGGAUCGCCUUAACUUGCCACCCUAUAAAGUGCUUUAGUGGAAGACCCUUCCUCAGUCGCGCCAGGGAUCUCUGCUGCUAUCAGCCGCCCCCAUGGCCAAGCUUCUGGUGUAGAAAUAUUUUGCUGUGCUACAUACGCUGGUGUGGGUAGUCUUACCUUUCGACAGGAAACACAAGCCCAUCUGUUCGUAACCCUGUGCUUUAUUUCUCGCCCUCUGAAGUGUUCCAGUAUGAGGUCUCCAUCCCACCCCAACAACAGGAUGUUCGCUAAUGCUGACCACGUAACUUGCGGCUGAACUGGUCAACGAUCACAUCUGACCUCACUGGUGUCUGCUACACUCGACAAUUCCAGCCUCGUUCACGGAUUUUAUUGCUCAAGCUUCAGUGUAGGAUACGUGGCAGUGUGUGCACUUGAAUGAUGUGGUGAUUCGCUUCAUAGUUUGCCAAUAGUGCGUACGUGCUGGGGACACCUCAAAUGGCCGGUCUUUGCUGCCGACCGCGUCUGUGUACAUACAACAGGCACUGUGGACACGGACAGCGUGCGCCUGACUUUUCUUUAUAGUCAACCUGUGAAGUCGCCACUGCGGUAAACUUUAUUAUAUCGUAUAACUUGCACAGACCAAGACACUAGUGUUACACUAUUCUUUGCAACAUACUCUAUCGACCUAACAGUAGUGUUACAGUAGUUUUUUGUCUGACAACAUACCCCAAGUAGACCAAGAAAAUAGUAUUAUUACUAUUACUUUAUCUGACUACAUAUUCUACAGAAUGUCCGUGUUCCUUAAAUUUUAAUUGGGAAACAUCGCCGUUUAAUGUCAAACGCCAAAUCCUCUUAAAUACUGCAGGUUAGUAGGUAGGGGUUUUUUUUUUUUUUUUGUUUUUUUUUUUAGAAAUUCUGCUUCCAUGGUGAAACUGUAGCAAAUUACACUCGCAAGUAUUUAUGUGUUGAAAUGCUACAGGUAUAGUCAUACCUCCAUCUCUCUAUCUGAAACUCUUCCACCUUCCUCUCUCGAAACAGCUUCGUCUUUUUUUUUAAUCAACAAAACAUAAUUGGUAAGCAGAAAGACAUGGAUUUGAAUCUCUUGGAUUACUCCCCCUUUAACGCGUUGCCGGAGGUCAUGACCACACGUCCCAUCACAGACCUGCGCCAUGGUGUUCAUUUGUGUACCUCGCACCAUCAGCCGGGUCUUCAUCACCUUCUACCUCACUUCCCUCACACCCUCUCCCCACCCCAUCUCUCCCCUCUUUCCCCCCUAGCCUUCGCCGGCAGCGUGCGUUUGUCUUCAAGUCAAAAAACGACCACGUAACGAAGGCCAUUUUGGGCAAAAGCCGAGAUUAGGUUCCAGUGUCCCCCAUCCCCAGGCAAAGGAUCCUCAAACGCCCCAAGAGCGCCAUCCUGUCUCUUCCCCCCUCUAUCCCCCUCCCCCCAGCCCAUCUCGUGAUGCGAGUGUGCAUGAUGCUAGUGCUGCUGUUGCUGCUGCAGCAAGACCUCCACACCCUGAGCAAGAAGCGCCGGACGAAAAUCCACGACAAAGCAGGCCCCUGUGCUAAUUUCGCCGAGGUUAGGGCCUGUUCGUAAAGCACAUUAAUUCCGCCAGUGCCUGUUGUUGCCCAGGGGAUAAUGUUUGCAUGUGGCAAUUGGAGACGGGUCGGUGAGCAGACAUUCACAUGAACGUCAUAGACACGCGAACACGCAACGCUCGGAAAGCCUUCAAUAUGCCAUUCUCCUACCUGCCGGCUCAACCUGUAGAGGCACAGGUUGAGGGUCUGGCCACUAAUCUGUAAACCCAAAGAAGGCCUGCCCACUGACUCGCAGUGUCAAAGAGAACAGUGCCACCCGGCCCCAGUUUAUAAACCUGUAAUGUGAUUGGGGAGCCAGUCCACCCAUACGCAAAAUUAUGGGCGACCUGUCCACUAAUAUGCAAAUUCAAAGAAGGCAGAAAUAAAGAAAUUAACGUCACCAGUAUGGGAAAGAGGGAACGGAGCAGCCAAAGACAGGUAUGCGAGAAGGGUGGAACGUAAAGGCACAGCACUUCAGGGUAUCACCGAUACCUGCUAACCAGCUCAUCAAACAAGACAUUUUCCACAAAUCUGUCAAAAGAUUUGUCUGGUCUUCGUUCUCUAGAACCACACUUCAAGCGCAGGGAAGAAUAACAGCGCACCAAGGCGCACGCCACCAGACGUGUAACCAAACGCCAGGCGACAAUGCCAGGCCUCUUCGGAAGAAAAGGCAGAAACAAAAAGUCCGCCACCACGUUCGACAACUCCUGUGUGAGUCAAGCAGACUGUUUCUCGCUCCCUGUGCGGUUGCCUUUCAUUUUCUCUCAAGUCCCUCGCACUCUUUUCCCUUCGACCCUCUUUACAAUGGCUUGCGGCUUGUGGCAAGGCCCUGCUCAUUGUGUGUGAAGGCGGGGGGAAGGAGGGUUAUCGAUAAAAUCGAAGCGGAACAACAAAUGGGCUCGCUGAGAAAUCUGGCCCCGGAUCAAUGAGAGAAGGGCCAACUGUGUCAACGCAACGGAAACCAGAGCCGGGUGGAGCAAAUUAUAAAAGUGUAACCAAAAAUCUGGGUGCGGAGCCUGGUAAAGCUGAGCUGGCCAUGGCCGGGCAUGGGGGAGGCUGGUGAGCCUCGUGCCUGCCCAUCUUCAGCCUCCUGACUAAUGACUGCCUCCCCGUGAUCAAAUUCGGCGAAGCCCGCUCCACAGCGGAAUUCUGUCAACACAAAAAACAAUUACAGCGGUGGGAAAGCUACAAGAUGGCCGGUGUCUUGUCCUGUCCUCAUCUCUUCUAACGCGUCUUCUUUAUCUGUCAUCUGCUCCAGGAAGAAAAAGAAAAAUAGCACCCAACACAAUAUGGAUUUGUGGAUUAUGGAAACUGUUGAAACCAUCCAAAAACACCACCACCCUCCCCUCAAAAAAAAAAGUAUUUGAACAGCAACUCUGUGAAAUAAACGCUGCUUUGAAACAGCUGCCUUAAGGUUUCUAGAAAACGCGUAAAAUGUCCGUUUUGUCCUUGCGAGAGUAUGUGUCGGCUUACACUCUAUCGAUACUCUCUUUCAAGAACACCCGUUUGUCGAGACUAGGAUCGUCAUAGAAAAUAGGUAGUCACAAGAUGCUACAUUCAUGUUUAGGUACUGAAAGAACAAAAUCUCUGAUACUUGUAGGACGUACAAAAGGAUGUACUUUUAUUCUCGCUGAUUACAUGAUAAUAUUUCUUAUGAUCUAAGUGAAUGGCUUCUUUCUGCUCUUGAGAAACAGAGAAAAAGGUCAACGCCGUCACGUCACCAAAAGCCCCUGGCCACGCCUGACUGACAUUUGGUCCCAGUUCUUCCACUGGCUGUAGCCUUUAAGCACGGCCUUUAAUCAAGUGUACCUUCAUGAAAGACAAAGUGUUUUGCAAAACCAUUCACUAAAAAUGGAACAAAUCAUAUUAAAUUUUCGGGAACGUCUUUACGAAACCGAAAUCGGCGUCUAGAUGAACAAAAGGAAUCAAAGGUGCCAACGAAUAUGGACUUUGAACAGGACGAGGUCACGACUUGCUCCCGCCAUAAAGAGCACAAAUGAAGGAAUGUGUGAGGUUGGUGCUGCCGAUGCCAGCCUUCUCAAGAGCUGUGGGAAAGGCCAAAAGAAUGAAAGACAUUUGUCUUCAACAAGGGAGUAUCAGUUGCCCGGCCUCUGAGGGUCUCGGUUCUUAGACUCGGGCACCAGGUCUUCUGGUCGCCCGCGAUUUCCUCUUUUUGUGGUGUGUAGCAGAUUAAUGUGCUGACAGACUAGUGAUUUAAAGGGUGGGGAAGGCCACAGCGGAGGAGAGGAUUCUACACACACAGCCAGAUAUCUCUAUCGACGGAUUUGAAGCAGUUUUCAUCCGCCAGGUAAAUAUGGUUUGCGUCUUCCUUGCAGACCCUGACCCCGAGUGGCCAGCGGAUCAUUAGCAUUUUCUUCUGACAGCGGUCUUUAUAAUUCGUCCAAGAGUUUCUUCUGCAUGCUUCCCGCUUUCAGUCGAUAGCAGCUGUGGUUACUACAGGGAGAGGGAGAGCAUUAGAAAUGGAUAUAGUUAUGAUCUUGUACGUGAAGGGUAAAAUGCACCAUAACAGAUAAACAAAUACACGUGUGCAUCCAAACAUGCACACACCUGUUGUGGCCCACAAUAGAGCGACUCUAAUGCAAUACAUCAAAGCUGCAGAAGAAAAUGGCGUGACAGCAGUCAGAUGAAGGUUGAGGAAACCACGAACGGGCUGACACAAAGCAAGGAGUGUUGGAGAAAAAAGGCUGAGCUGAGAAUUCCUUCAGAACUCGAGUGGUUUAAUAGCACCGACGGCAGGCACUGCGGCCAACAUCAAUGGCGCAACCACGGGACGCGCUCUUCUCGUAAGACAAUCGUAUCUCAACCCAAAGACUCGCACUUGACCGACACUAAGCCGCAGAUUUUGUCAAACCCAGCGCAAGCUAAUUAGAGCCGAAGUCAUUGGCUCCCUCUAUAACGUUGACAGGAAAGUCGACAGGAACUGGAAGAAAGAAACAGAUGGCUGGGUGGAGGGAGAAACUGCUGAGAACCUGGGGGGAAGAGUAUUUUUUCUGUGUGUGCGUGCGUCUUUACUAAGGUGAGCCACCAACUAUCGACGUUAGCCGGGACACAUGGGGCAGUCUUCAAGAUGGAGUUGCAAGCCAUGAAGAGAAAGGGUGGUCGCGGAGAAAGGGGGCCAGCAGCCGGUC
This is a long non-coding RNA of Pomacea canaliculata, 5244 nucleotides long. RefSeq lists it as uncharacterized. The record is from RefSeq and is a predicted model, not a curated record. The transcript is spliced from 2 exons. Lineage: Eukaryota; Metazoa; Mollusca; Gastropoda; Architaenioglossa; Ampullariidae.